GUCCACGUUACCAUGGAGACUGUUUUUUAAUGACAGUCCUCCUUCCUAGGCGUGGUACAGAAAACUCCUGUUCUCAUUCAGCUGGUCUCUGCUGAUGCUGUCGCCAGAGCCAGGGAUGGGAAGAGGAACAUUU
Molecule: small nucleolar RNA, 133 nt
Filed under: Fundulus heteroclitus (mummichog)
Lineage: Eukaryota; Metazoa; Chordata; Actinopteri; Cyprinodontiformes; Fundulidae
Description: Small nucleolar RNA SNORA24 (ENSFHEG00000013649.1)
Source: RNAcentral